This 1459-nucleotide long non-coding RNA is filed under the name Bos indicus x Bos taurus (hybrid cattle). RNAcentral's name for it is "lncRNA (ENSBIXG00000025542.1)". The record is from RNAcentral. Lineage: Eukaryota; Metazoa; Chordata; Mammalia; Artiodactyla; Bovidae.
UCAGUUCAGUCGCUCCGUUGUAUUCGACUCUUUGCAACCCCAUGGACCGCAGCACACCAGGCCUCCCUGUCCCUCACCAACUCCCGGAGUUCACUCAAGCUCAUGUCCAUUGAGUCGGUGAUGCCAUCCAGCUAUCUCAUCGUCUGUAUGUACGUAAAAGCUGUUUAUUCCUUUUGAGUUAAGUUUGUUAACUUUAGUUAUCUGUUUAUCAAAUCCUUCUUAGUGCAGAUAUAAGCCUUGGCUUUGUUUUUUGUUUAAAAAUUCCAAAUGGGUCCUCCACAUAUUUUUGAUAUUUUUAAACAUGUUUACUGGAGUCCCAGAAAGGGCAGUUCUUUUCUCUGGAAGAGUCAAGUCCUUCGUGUCCUUAGGCCUGUAUCCACUGCCCCUAUUCCACUUCCAGCCCCGGCUCCACUGUCCAUUUCUGUCUGGUUCCGGGCCUGAGCUGCUUAGCGCAGCGGGAGGAUUGUAUGUGACCAUGUGGCCUGGCCGUCCCCUUGUAUGGUUUCAGAGGCAACCUUCAAGCUUCAGCCUCACCUGUGCCUUCAGCCACCUGCUGAUCUACCUUGAAGACUCCCAGAUGUCUGUCUCAAGUUGUGAGUUUCACCCCCCAGGCUCCAGAUCAUUCUCCGAAACAGCUCACUAUGUAUCUCUGUGUCUUGAUUUUUGUGAUGGUUCAAGGUGUUGACGUGGGUUUGCAGCUUAACUGUGUAAUCUAGUCGUGUGACCAGGGAAGUCACUUCAGCUUUCCUAAGCAGCCUCGGUACAGUGGGGAUGAAGAUGGAGUGUUUGUGAAACACCAGCGCAGUGUUCAGCGUAGAUUCUGUCUCCUUUCUCCUGUUGCUCAGCUGGGUUCUGACCCUCCCGCCCCAUCCCGUCCCCACCCACCUGGCGGGUGGGGAAGAAGAGAAACAUGGCAGUUUCUCUCCUUCUUCUGUUUUCUCCAUCUCGUUUCCCUGCCCUCAUCACCUCUGGCCUAAACGUUUGGUCUCUUCCUGAAAAUUCUUCCCAUUCCUACCAGCAUUUUCUCUCUCAAACACAUCUCUGAUGAGGUCACUCCUCAAAGACCUCCAUGGCUUCUCUCACCUGAGCCCCAUGUGCGCCACGCACGUCCUUUCGCCGUCUUGCCCCCGCCUCCCUCGCACCAUCCCCAGGACAGUCUGGCUUGUGCCACCUCCUGACUGUGCUGUGCCCAUCUGGAUCCUGAGGCCUCUGUCUGCGCUGCGCAGCGGGCCUCCUGGGCUGCCUGGUGAAUUCUGAUCUACUCCAGGACGGCCCAGGAGUUUGAGCAGAGACUGCCUCUCCGGCCUGGGGUCCGCUCUCCUCCCGCGGCAUUUACAAAGGGCAUUGGGUUGGUUGUGUGUCUGUUCCCCUAGACUGUGAGUUCCUUGAGGGCAGGGACGAAGCCUUGCACAGAGCCAUUUCCAAUAAAUGUUGAAUGACUUCAGAGGCCCCUGAGUGU